GAGGCCACCGGACCACUCACCACAGGAGCUGAUGCACAUUCUUCAGCUGAACUUUACACCGUUGUCCCACCAUCCACUGAAUUGAACACCAUUCAGACUCAUGGCUUUAUCAGGUACAGAAUGAAUGAUUACAAACCACCAAUACAUCAGCAAAUCUUUUUUCGUGCGUUUUCUAAAUAGUGUGAGCAGUCACACACUAAGAAUUUCUGACAUAUCUCUCGACUUGUACCUAGAUUUUGAGUAUCUAUUUCUGUCAGUAAUAAUUGAUUGUUACCACAACAGCUCUUCAUAGUGUGGGUGGGGGUGAAAGAGGAUUGUGUUCAUCAGUUUCUGUGUUCAUGUGUGUGAUGGAUGAUGUUCUGACUGGUCUGUCCCCACCCCGACUCCACAGCAGUGACAUGCGUGUGGUGUGUAGAGACUCCAACGGUUGUGUCAGUGUUCUCUCGUUGACGGCGCCGGGGCUAGAGACCACGGCCCAGUGGAAGGCUCUGAGGCCUGGAUCACAGCCAUCUCCUUCUAGGACACCCAGCUGUUCUACUCAGAAGAUGCUGCUGCUACUGCUGCUGCCUCAGCACUACACUUCCAGACGGUCUGUCCAAAGGCUGCAUCCCACAUGGCCGGUGGAACUACGUGCUCUUUAGCACAGGGGUCCAGGACCUCCUUGUCCCCGUCUGGGAGGGUCCUGAACCCCACAGCCUGGACCCCCUUGGGGGAGGGGGGAAUUAAUUUGGCCUUUUCAAAUUGAAAUAAUAAAUGGAAAGGCAUGGCUUGGACAAUCUCUCCAAAGGCUAAUGCCUCCUUUGGGGUCAUUUAAUAACUGGAGGAGAGACCCUAGCUGCUCCUUCUGGCCCGCAUAUGCAUGGCGCUUAUAGGGAGGCCAACCUCUAGCUGUGAGGUUGGCCUCCCGGGAGAUACCAUGGCCCGGGUCUCUGCCUCCAGGUGGGGGCGGGGACUUGUACAGGGUCAGUGAUGCAUGUUUCUGUUGUAUGUUGUUUCAUGUUUUGUUGGUUUUAAUAAAUCCAGUUUUCUGACUAAACUGAAGUGUUUAUUGAUGUGUUGAUAUGAAUCGUAAAUGGUAUAUCCUCUGGAUUCAUUGCAUGUUUGUGGCUAUAAUAUCAACCCUGUAAUGCAAAGACAGGCUUCAAACAUGCUUUCAG
Molecule: long non-coding RNA, 1157 nt
Filed under: Gadus morhua (Atlantic cod)
Lineage: Eukaryota; Metazoa; Chordata; Actinopteri; Gadiformes; Gadidae
Description: lncRNA (ENSGMOG00000036857.1)
Source: RNAcentral